UGUGUAGGCGGCUAUGCAAGUCGGGUGUGAAAUCCCUGGGCUCAACUCAGGAAGUGCACUCGAAACUGCAUGGCUCGAGUACCGGAGAGGUUGGUAGAAUUCUCGGUGUAGAGGUGAAAUUCGUAGAUAUCGAGAGGAAUACCUGUGGCGAAGGCGGCCAACUGGACGAGUACUGACGCUGAGACACGAAAGCGUGGGGAGCAAACAGGAUUAGAUACCCUGGUAGUCCACGCCGUAAACGAUGGGUGCUAGGUGUCGCGGACUUUGACUCCCGCGGUGCCGUAGCUAACGCAUUAAGCACCCCGCCUGGGAAGUACGGCCGCAAGGCUAAA
RNAcentral lists this ribosomal RNA (332 nucleotides) under uncultured bacterium. Its description in RNAcentral is "bacterial SSU rRNA". It matches the Rfam family "Bacterial small subunit ribosomal RNA", at positions 568 to 898 of the family's 1533-position model. The record is from RNAcentral.